UGGGGAAUUUUGCACAAUGGGCGCAAGCCUGAUGCAGCGACGCCGCGUGAGGGAUGAAGGCCUUCGGGUUGUAAACCUUUUUCGCUCAUGGUCAAGCCGCAGCUUUGGGUUGUGGUGAGGGUAGUGGGUAAAGAAGCGCCGGCUAACUACGUGCCAGCAGCCGCGGUAAUACGUAGGGCGCGAGCGUUGUCCGGAAUUAUUGGGCGUAAAGGGCUUGUAGGCGGUUGGCCGCGUCUGCCGUGAAAUCCUCUGGCUUAACUGGGGGCGUGCGGUGGGUACGGGUUGACUUGAGUGCGGUAGGGGAGCCUGGAAUUCCUGGUGUAGCGGUGGAAUGCGCAGAUAUCAGGAGGAACACCGGUGGCGAAGGCGGGUCUCUGGGCCGUUACUGACGCUGAGGAGCGAAAGCGUGGGGAGCGAACAGG
RNAcentral lists this ribosomal RNA (422 nucleotides) under bacterium. RNAcentral describes it as "partial 16S ribosomal RNA". It matches the Rfam family "Bacterial small subunit ribosomal RNA", at positions 355 to 776 of the family's 1533-position model. The record is from RNAcentral.